GACGAACGCUGGCGGCGUGCUUAACACAUGCAAGUCGUACGGUAAGGCCCUUUCGGGGGUACACGAGUGGCGAACGGGUGAGUAACACGUGAGUAACCUGCCCACAACUUUGGGAUAACGCUAGGAAACUGGUGCUAAUACUGGAUAUGUGCUCCUGCUGCAUGGUGGGGGUUGGAAAGUUCCGGCGGUUGUGGAUGGACUCGCGGCCUAUCAGCUUGUUGGUGGGGUAGUGGCCUACCAAGGCGGCGUCGGGUAGCCGGCCUGAGAGGGUGACCGGCCACAUUGGGACUGAGAUACGGCCCAGACUCCGACGGGAGGCAGCAGUGGGGAAUAUUGCACAAGGGGCGCAAGCCUGAUGCAGCAACGCCGCGUGCGGGAUGACGGCCUUCGGGUUGUAAACCGCUUGCAGCAGGGACGAAGCUUUUUGUGACGGUACCUGCAGAAGAAGCACCGGCUAACUACGUG
Molecule: ribosomal RNA, 465 nt
Filed under: uncultured bacterium
Lineage: Bacteria
Description: partial 16S ribosomal RNA
Rfam family: Bacterial small subunit ribosomal RNA
Source: RNAcentral